Peromyscus eremicus (cactus mouse) is the source of this 686-nucleotide long non-coding RNA. RefSeq lists it as uncharacterized. The record is from RefSeq and is a predicted model, not a curated record. The transcript is spliced from 2 exons. Lineage: Eukaryota; Metazoa; Chordata; Mammalia; Rodentia; Cricetidae.
AGUAACUUACUGUUUUAAGAUCUGAAAUGAUGAAAAGAAAGAAAAUAAGGCAGAGGAGGGACGAGGGACGAGGAGAUGAUGGGGUUGAUGAUACAGAUGCAGUCCGGGCUUCGGGGAAACGUACCAUCUGAGAAAGGAUGGCUUCUACGUCCUUGAGAAAGAACUAGAGAGAAAAGUGGAUCAGACUAAGUGAAGAAGAGCAGAAGGAGGGAGAUGAGGUUUGGCAGGAAGGAGGGGACGGCAGUGCAGGGCCUUGUGAGUUACCAUCAGAACUCUGGCUUUGAGCAGAAAACAUGGGGGGUAGCCUUUGGUAACUCAGAACAGAAAGGUAGCACAGCUGUACUUGCCCUCAGCACCUUAUUCCCACCAACUACGACCUUAAAACACCGGGAUUCAGUUCAAACCACACAGCUAUAUGAAGUCCAGACAAACCAUGGUAGAGUUUGAAUGGAAAGAAGUCACCCGUGAGACCUGGAACAACGCAUGACAGCAAACGCCUAUGACUCCGGACUGAAGAUGGAGCUCAGUGGUACAACAUUUGCCCUGCAUUCACAAGGGCAUAGGUUCAAUCUCUGGUACUGAAUCAAAAAGGAUAGCCUCUCUCAAAGAAGAUGCCGGGUGUUACAGGGAAGAAGAGGAAACAGAAAUCGAAUGCAUCUUGGGAAUAAAAUGGGAUUGCUUUUCUA